CCUACGGGAGGCAGCAGUGAGGAAUCUUUGUCAAUGGGCGGAAGCCUGAACCAGCCAAGUAGCGUGCAGGAUGACGGCCCUACGGGUUGUAAACUGCUUUUUUACGGGAAUAACGCGCCUUACGUGUAGGGCUUUGCAUGUACCGUAUGAAUAAGGACCGACUAAUUCCGUGCCAGCAUCCGCGGUAAUACGGGAGGUCUGGGUGUUAUCCGGAUUUAGGGGGUUUAAGGGGGUCGUAGGCCGCAUGUCAAGCGUGCUGUGAAAUGUCCGGGCUCAACCCGGGCCUUGCAGCGCGAACUGGCGAGCUUGAGUCCGCGGAAAGCAGGCGGAAUUCGUCGUGUAGCAGUGAAAUGCUUAGAUAUGACGAAGAACCCCGAUUGCGAAGGCAGCUUGCUGCAGCGGAACUGACGCUGAUGCUCGAAAGCGCGGGUAUCGAACAGGAUUAGAUACCCGGGUAGUC
This 460-nucleotide ribosomal RNA is filed under the name uncultured bacterium. RNAcentral's name for it is "partial 16S ribosomal RNA". It matches the Rfam family "Bacterial small subunit ribosomal RNA", at positions 338 to 795 of the family's 1533-position model. The record is from RNAcentral.